CGGACGGGUGAGUAUCGCGUGGGGAUUUAUCGUUGGGUGGGGGAUAACCUUGGGAAACUGGGGCUAAUACCGCAUGACGCCUUUGGGCCAAAGCAGCGAUGCGCCUGAUGAGGAGCCUGCGUCCGAUUAGGUAGUUGGUUGGGUUACGGCUGACCAAGCCUGCGAUCGGUAGCUGGUCUGAGAGGAUGAUCAGCCACACUGGGACUGAGACACGGCCCAG
Molecule: ribosomal RNA, 220 nt
Filed under: uncultured bacterium
Lineage: Bacteria
Description: partial 16S ribosomal RNA
Rfam family: Bacterial small subunit ribosomal RNA
Source: RNAcentral